Molecule: long non-coding RNA, 702 nt
Filed under: Brachypodium distachyon (stiff brome)
Lineage: Eukaryota; Viridiplantae; Streptophyta; Magnoliopsida; Poales; Poaceae
Description: long non-coding RNA (BDIS_LNC005675)
Source: RNAcentral
GUGCCGACUUGACGCGCCAUGGGUAGUACCUCUUUGCCGCUGCCACCGGAGGAGUGGGAGAGUAGAGUGUACGUGAGCCGGGGGAAGCCAUGGAUGAUGAUCAGGUUUGUAUGUCAAUUUGUAUCGUCGAUGGUUCAGCUAGCCAUGGAUUGACCCCUCCAUACAGAGAGAGCUGCUUUGCCUAGAGUGAUGGAGUAUCAAUGCAGACUAUAUAAUUGCUAUUGUAUCCGAGUUAUUUUGCAUGCAGUAUAUCUAUCUUAUUUUUUUUCCUUAAUGAAAUUUUCUCUACAACUUAAAUGUCUUUCCUGAGUUAUAACUAGAGGAGAUCGAUUGUUGGAUCGAUGUAAAUGUGUCUCGUGAUCUUCUUGCCAUGCAUAUAUCUUGAUCGAUUUAGCAAGAUUUGUUUUCACUCUGAAGGAUUAAAAUGUUACACGUCCUUGGCAUGUCUUAUCUAUACCAAUAUAUUAAAUUGGAGUUGGUGGUGAUGGUACGGGCAUCGCGGUACGUCACUUCAUCGAAAUUACGAAUCUGCCACCACGAUACCCACGCGCCUUUUAAUCCCGGCUCCUGCGGUCCUCAAGCGCAGAAAAAACACGUACCGCCCAAAAAGAAAAAAAGAACAACAGAGCCCUCUUCGCUCCUUCUUCUCUCCUACGAAUCUCACCCCCACCCCUUGCCCAAUCUGGAUCUCGCCGCCGCCCU